Molecule: non-coding RNA, 109 nt
Submitted as: unclassified sequences
Source: Rfam
ACUAAGAGAGGUGGAAAAAUGGACAUCCAUGAGCCUUAUACCCUUUGGCAGAGAUGCAGGGCAGUAUUGGUAUAAGAGAGAUGCGGGGCGAGUCCUCCCGCCUCUUAGU